RNAcentral lists this ribosomal RNA (811 nucleotides) under Xenopus poweri. RNAcentral describes it as "partial 16S ribosomal RNA". It matches the Rfam family "Bacterial large subunit ribosomal RNA", at positions 1213 to 2524 of the family's 2925-position model. Lineage: Eukaryota; Metazoa; Chordata; Amphibia; Anura; Pipidae. The record is from RNAcentral.
UAUAAAACCCUUAAAUUAGUAUAACUUAUUCUAAACCCUCAAACAAUACUGAGCUGUUCUAUUAACUAUAGAAGCACUUAUGCUAGAACUAGUAAUGUGAAUACACCAUUCUCAUAAUAUGUAAGUGUAAAUCAGAUCGAAUAAAUCACUGAUAAUUAACGGCCUCUCUGAGAUCCCUGCAACAACAAAACAAGAAAACCAUGCACCUUUUACCGUUAAUCUAACACAAGAACAUUACAAGAAAGAUUAAAAGACGCAGAAGGAACUCGGCAAACUAUGAACCCCGCCUGUUUACCAAAAACAUCGCCUCUUGCUAAAAAACAUGUAUAAGAGGUCCAGCCUGCCCAGUGACUAUAAGUUCAACGGCCGCGGUAUUCUGACCGUGCAAAGGUAGCGUAAUCACUUGUCUUUUAAAUAAAGACUGGUAUGAAUGGCACCACGAAGGUUCAACUGUCUCCUGCAUCCAAUCCAUUAAACUGACCUCCCCGUGCAGAGGCGGGGAUACAACCAUAAGACGAGAAGACCCUAUGGAGCUUUAAACUAAAGGCAACUGCCAACUUCAACCUAAUCCGUAAGGAAAAACAAUAAAACAAGCAGAAAUUGACCUAAAGUUUUCGGUUGGGGCGACCACGGAGAAUAAAAAAUCCUCCUUGAAGAAUAGGGCCUACCACCCUUAACCAAGAAUCACUAUUCUAAGUAACAAAAUUUAUGACUACAAUUGAUCCAGUCUAACUGAUCAACGAACCAAGUUACCCUAGGGAUAACAGCGCAAUCCAUUUCAAAAGUUCCUAUCGACAAAUGGGUUUACGAC